AAGAACGACUCUCGGCAACGGAUAUCUCGGCUCUCGCAUCGAUGAAGAACGUAGCGAAAUGCGAUACUUGGUGUGAAUUGCAGAAUCCCGUGAACCAUCGAGUCUUUGAACGCAAGUUGCGCCCGACGCCAUCAGGUCGAGGGCACGUCUGCCUGGGCGUCACACGC
RNAcentral lists this ribosomal RNA (167 nucleotides) under Ficus virgata. Its description in RNAcentral is "5.8S ribosomal RNA". It matches the Rfam family "5.8S ribosomal RNA". Rfam says of the family: 5.8S ribosomal RNA (5.8S rRNA) is a component of the large subunit of the eukaryotic ribosome. It is transcribed by RNA polymerase I as part of the 45S precursor that also contains 18S and 28S rRNA. Lineage: Eukaryota; Viridiplantae; Streptophyta; Magnoliopsida; Rosales; Moraceae. The record is from RNAcentral.